Molecule: ribosomal RNA, 326 nt
Filed under: uncultured eukaryote
Lineage: Eukaryota
Description: partial 18S ribosomal RNA
Rfam family: Eukaryotic small subunit ribosomal RNA
Source: RNAcentral
CCCUUAGAUGUUCUGGGCUGCACGCGCGCUACACUGAUGCGCUCAACGAGUUUUCGAACUUGCCCGGAAGGGUUGGUUAAUCUUUUUAAAACGCAUCGUGAUGGGGAUAGAUUAUUGCAAUUAUUAAUCUUCAACGAGGAAUUCCUAGUAAGCGCGAGUCAUCAGCUCGUGCUGAUUACGUCCCUGCCCUUUGUACACACCGCCCGUCGCUCCUACCGGUUGAGUGAUCCGGUGAAUAAUUCGGACUGCAGUCGUGUUCAGUUCCUGAACGUGGCAGCGGAAAGUUUAGUGAACCUUAUCACUUAGAGGAAGGAGAAGUCGUAACA